UGGGGAAUUUUGGACAAUGGGCGAAAGCCUGAUCCAGCAAUGCCGCGUGUAUGAAGAAGGCCUUCGGGUUGUAAAGCACUUUUGUCCGGAAAGAAAUGGCUCUGGUUAAUACCUGGGGUCGAUGACGGUACCGGAAGAAUAAGGACCGGCUAACUACGUGCCAGCAGCCGCGGUAAUACGUAGGGUCCAAGCGUUAAUCGGAAUUACUGGGCGUAAAGCGUGCGCAGGCGGUUGUGCAAGACCGAUGUGAAAUCCCCGAGCUUAACUUGGGAAUUGCAUUGGUGACUGCACGGCUAGAGUGUGUCAGAGGGGGGUAGAAUUCCACGUGUAGCAGUGAAAUGCGUAGAGAUGUGGAGGAAUACCGAUGGCGAAGGCAGCCCCCUGGGAUAACACUGACGCUCAUGCACGAAAGCGUGGGGAGCAAACAGGAUUAGAUACCCUGGUAGUCCACGCCCUAAACGAUGUCAACUAGUUGUUGGGGAUUCAUUUCCUUAGUAACGUAGCUAACGCGUGAAGUUGACCGCCU
Molecule: ribosomal RNA, 526 nt
Filed under: uncultured bacterium
Lineage: Bacteria
Description: partial 16S ribosomal RNA
Rfam family: Bacterial small subunit ribosomal RNA
Source: RNAcentral